RNAcentral lists this ribosomal RNA (493 nucleotides) under uncultured bacterium. RNAcentral describes it as "partial 16S ribosomal RNA". It matches the Rfam family "Bacterial small subunit ribosomal RNA", at positions 29 to 508 of the family's 1533-position model. The record is from RNAcentral.
AGUGAACGCUGGCGGUAGGCCUAACACAUGCAAGUCGAACGGCAGCACAGUAAGAGCUUGCUCUUACGGGUGGCGAGUGGCGGACGGGUGAGGAAUACAUCGGAAUCUACUUUUUCGUGGGGGAUAACGUAGGGAAACUUACGCUAAUACCGCAUACGACCUACGGGUGAAAGCAGGGGAUCUUCGGACCUUGCGCGAUUGAAUGAGCCGAUGUCGGAUUAGCUAGUUGGCGGGGUAAAGGCCCACCAAGGCGACGAUCCGUAGCUGGUCUGAGAGGAUGAUCAGCCACACUGGAACUGAGACACGGUCCAGACUCCUACGGGAGGCAGCAGUGGGGAAUAUUGGACAAUGGGCGCAAGCCUGAUCCAACCAUACCGCGUGGGUGAAGAAGGCCUUCGGGUUGUAAAGCCCUUCUGUUGGGAAAGAAAAGCAGCAGGUUAAUACCCCGCUGUUCUGACGGUACCCAAAGAAUAAGCACCGGCUAACUUCGUGC